This is an RNA transcript of Corythoichthys intestinalis (scribbled pipefish), 11015 nucleotides long. It is a transcript of the gene named cytosolic iron-sulfur assembly component 1, with no coding region annotated. Lineage: Eukaryota; Metazoa; Chordata; Actinopteri; Syngnathiformes; Syngnathidae. The transcript is spliced from 2 exons. The record is from RefSeq and is a predicted model, not a curated record.
UUUUGUUUUGUUUUUAAUCUGUCCUGUCCAGCUCCUUGGAAAUGCAUAAUACAAAAUACCUUAAAAUGCUUAAACAGUUUUAAUGUGCCUCGUGGGAGUCUGGAAUAUUUGAAUAUAUAUGCCACGCUACCUAGCUAUGAGUAGUGUUGCAAAGUCAUUACGACUUCAUUUACUGAGGGAAUAUACCUAAUAAGUGAUAGGACAAGAAGAGGGAUGACAGGAAAGAUUAUGGUGUGGUGACAACAAGGCAUGGUGAGUGUUCAAACUAGAGCUGAAACGAGUACUCGAGCAACUCGAGUAACUCGAGUUUAAAAACUGAUCCGAGUCAUUUUAUUCACCUCGAGUAAUCGUUUAUUUUGACAGCUCUAAGCAUCACGUUUUGCUCGGACUACUUUUAAUGCGGGACAACGCGCUGUCACGUGCGGAGAGGAAGAAGGGGAGAAAAAAAAACUUACUGCAGCUGACAGCCGCCACAAACGACGCCGACGUUGCCAAAUACUAGCCCGCACGAUGCUACGUUGGUAACAGCUAGCGUCUGAUGCGUCUCAUAAAGAUCACAUGUAUGUUGAACUAGAUGCGCAAUGACAGACUCGGCCGCGUCUGGGCAGCGUUAUUAAACAGCCGCCAUCUUAAAGCAGUACAGCGCUAAGCGCUAAUAAAGAGCGCUAAGCGUUAAUAAAUAAGAUUAACGUUACUGUCGCUACUAGCUCACGUAAAGUUAGCCCUGCGGAGGACUAGGUUUCAAUUAAUUAUGACUACUGUCAUUGCGUGGCUAACGUGUUUUACAUACAGGCUUUAACAUAACAUAGCAUUGUGGAGUGAUGAGGGUGUAAAAUAAAAACUUAAUCAUGCUAACUAUCAAUUUUAGCUCAGUAGUCAUUGCUGGAUAAAACACCAAGUUGCACUGGUCCCUAAUGUGCUCCAGUACAGCCUGUAUCAUACAUUUAUUUUGAACACUGCAAAAACUCAAAAUCCUAUCAGGACUUACAGUUUAGACUAACUUAAAACUUAACUAGAACUUAAAAAUGGCUUGACACAAAGAGAAAUUCAAUUGAAACACGAGGGAAAAAAUCCUAACUUUUAAGUGAUGUGUGUCAUCAAGCGUAACGGCAUUUUUAGGUUAUAUAUAUAUAUAUAUAUAUAUAUAUAUUUUUUUUUUAAAUAAGAUCUAAAAGUUUUUUGAGUGAAAGCAGUGAAUGUCUUUUUUUUAAAUUCUAGCUACAAUAUACAUCAAAAAUAAAGACAUUGAUUGACUGAAAAUGGUUCAAGAUUAGAUGAAAUGUCUUGUUUUCUCAUGUAUAUUUAUAAUUGCUCUUCACCUAAAAAUAUAUUUGUUUUAUCCGAUUACUCGAUUAAUCGAUAGAAUUUUCAGUCGAUUACUCGAUUACUAAAAUAUUCGAUAGCUGCAGCCCUAGUUCAAACAGUGCCAGUAUUAUGAAAAAUCACGUUUGAUUUGUAGUGGACACAGAAUAGCAGAGAGGUGUUCAUGAUCUGAUCUGAAACAUGAUCACUCAUUGCCUGUCUCCCCAGUUGAAAUGGAUUUGAUGUCCAUAACUGUCAAUGUAAGUAAAGGAGUUAAGGGUUAAGAGCAACAAAAUAAUCCAGCGGUAUAAGAAUAUUGUAAAAAUAAUACAUACGUUUUUUUUUUGUUGUUGUUUUUUUUUUUUUUUUACAUAUAUACAGUGGAAAAAAAUAAGUAUUUGAACACCCUGGUUGUUCUGCCUUUUGGUGAGUUUUGUAGAAGGCUUUUUUGUGCUGUCCAGCAGCGAACUCUAGUGGUCGCCUCGCGACAUGGUUUUUUGUUUUUCUAGCCAAUUCAAUAUGGCUGCACGACGUCUCUGGCUGAAGCCUAAGUUGCAACGUUGUGCUCACAUGAUCCUUGGACAAGAUUUGUCCGUAAGUAUGGAUGUUGUGGAUAAUGUACAUAUUAUGUUGGUAGGAGAAAUGUUAUGUUUUUUGUAUGGAACGCUUUUUGUUUAUGUUUAGUGAACUAGUCUGGCGUGCUAAGCUAACGUUGUAGCUAAUGCUAUGCUUGUAUACUCUUUUUGUAGUUUUACGACGGUCCGGAGAGGACAAUGGUUUAAGGCCAUUCCAUUAAUAAAUCAGAUAAAACCAAAGGAAGAAGUCUGUUUAUUAAAGCGUCGUUCACUAGCCGUCUAGCUUGGAAAAAAGUAGACGCUUCCGAGUGAGGACAGCAUAGUAAAAGGACAUCAGCGCGGCGGGAUCAACUACGACGCAACACACAACAAUGAGCCUACGGUCAGAAAAACACCUGGAUUCUACAGACGAAGGAGCAACGCCAAGGCAACAACAAAGACAAGUGGAAAACAGAGACUAUGCAGACAAUACAGAGAACAUGGAUAACGCAAGCAAUGCAGACUCACAGGUCAGGUCUAUACGCACGCAUACAUCCAAGAGUUCAUCUACUAGUUCAUCUACUAGUUCUGCAGCACUAAAGGCGCGAGCAAAAGCAGUAGCCGCACGUGCACAGUUGGCAUAUUCAGAAAAAGAAGCUACCAUGAUGAAGCAAAAAUCUGAGCUUGAAGCCAAUCUACACGUCUUAAGUUGUCAAAAGGCAGUUGCAGCCGCAGAAGCAGAGGCUGCUGUUUAUGAAGAAGAAGAAAGUUUCACAAAAUCUGAAGUAAGACAUUCAAUUGUAGGACAACCUGCCAAUCCAAUGCAACGUACAGCAGAGUUUGUUCAAAGCCAUCCAGACAGCUACUAUGAAAGAUUUUUAUCGAAAAUGGAUCCACUCGCCAGCCACAAAGCAGCACGUGAGCAAUGUGAAAUGGCGAUGAACACAGAAAUAGAUGAGAGAAAUUUUUACAGUGAGAAAAAACCUGACAUCAAAGUGGAGCAGCAAACACAAGAGAGAGAAGAACGCAGUCCACCCAAACUGUACCCGUAUGACACUCUUCCAACUCCAGCAGAGACGCAGGGAAAACAGGACAUCACAUGUUACCUGAGACGGAGAGAAAUGUUGAGUACUGGACUUUUACAGUUUGAUGAUCUCCCAGAGAACUACUGGGCAUGGAAGGCGUCAUUCCAAAAUGCCAUUAAGGACUUGAGAUUAACAGCCCAAGAAGAAAUAGAUUUAAUGAUAAAGUGGCUUGGAAAUGAGUCUCGCCAGCAAGCUAAAAGAAUCCGAUCAGUUCAUGUCUUCAAUCCAACAGCUGCACUUCAUCUUUUGUGGGAACGACUGGAGGAAUGCUACGGGUCACCUGAAGUCAUGGAAAAUGCAUUGCUAAAAAAGAUUGAACAGUUUCCCAAACUUAACAACAGGGACAACACAAAGUAACGAGAGCUAGGUGACAUUCUACAAGAAAUUGAAUGUGCCAAGGACGGAGGAUACUUACCAGGCCUAUCGUAUUUGGACACGUCUCGAGGAGUCAACCCCAUCGUGGACAAGCUACCUUACGGGCUUCAAGACAAGUGGAUCGCUACAGGAGCGAAGUACAAAGAAGAACACAAAGUCGUCUUUCCACCUUUUAGUGUCUUUUCAAAAUUUGUGAGACAACAAGCAAAAAUAAGAAAUGACCCAAGCUUCGUCAUCACAUCUCCUAUCAACACAAGCUUCAAAAAGGAAAAAAGCUUCAAAAGUGAUAACAGGCGAGUGGUUUCCGUGCACAAAACAGACAUUCCAACUGACACCAGUACAGCUCAAAAAUGUUUUAGUAAGCCAGCAGAAAGUCCGGACAAGCUAUGUCCAUUACAUAAGAAACCUCACCCGCUUACAAAGUGCAAAACCUUUAGAGCCAAGCCCAUUGAUGAACGCAAGUCAUUCUUGAAAGACAACAGAAUUUGUUUUAAAUGUUGUAGCUCAACUCAGCAUUUAGCGAAAGACUGUAAUAUGCAAAUUAGGUGCAUGGAAUGUGGCAGCGAAAGACAUUUGACAGCGCUACAUCCAGGUCCACUUCCUGCUCCAGCGGAAAGUUCUGAAGUUGAGAAAGGUGAUGGCGGGGAGACACACGAAGAUGUAAGUGUCUCAGUUGUUUCUAAAUGCACUGAAGUAUGUGGUGAUGCAAACAGCACACUUUCAUGCUCAAAAAUAAGCCCUGUAAUAGUGUACCCAAAGGGUGAGCGAGAUCAAGCAGUAAAGCUAUAUGCUGUACUUGAUGAACAAAGCAACAAGUCGCUUGUCAAGUCUCAGUUUUUCGAGCUCUUCAACAUAGAGACACGCUCGGACACUUAUAAGCUUAGAACAUGCUCAGGCCUGUCAGAUAAUGUCGGCAGAACAGCAUCAAACUUCAUGAUUGAGUCAGUGGAUGGUAGAGUAAAGCUCCCACUCCCAAACCUAAUUGAAUGUGACAUGAUUCCUGACGAUAGAAGAGAGAUCCCAUCUUCACAAGUUGCUAUGCAGUACCCUCACCUGCAAAGGAUAGCAAACAAAAUACCUCCGGUAGAAGAAAAAGUACCAAUCCUAUUGCUCUUGGGACGUGACAUUAUCCAGUUACACAAAGUUCGAGAGAGGAUUAAUGGACCGCGUAGUACCCCCUAUGCACAACGUUUAGACUUGGGUUGGGUUAUAGUUGGUGAAACCUGCCUGGGUAAGACGCACAAACCUCCAAACGUGAACGUCCUCAAAACAAACGUUCUUCAGAAUGGCCGUGCUUCUUACUUCAGCCCAUGUCCUAACACCUUUCAAAUCAAAGAGUCGAAUGGUUUUAGUAGCCAGUCAAACACUAAACCAACUUCCCAAAACGAACGUAAAAAUACAAACACGGAUCAGCUGGGACAAACUGUUUUUGAGAGAACCAAAGAUGACGACAAACCGGCACUCUCAAUAGAAGACAAAUAUUUUCUUGACAUUAUGGAAAAAGAAGUAUAUCAAAAUGAAGAUAACAGCUGGGUGGCGCCAUUGCCAUUCCAAUCUCCAAGACCAAAGCUUCCAAGUAACAAGGAGCAAGCACUCAAACGUCUCCAGUCACUCAGAAAAACACUGGACCGAAAUCCUGAAAUGAAAAAACAAUACGUGGAGUUUAUUCAAAACAUGCUGGACAACGACCACGCGGAGAUCGCUCCAAUUUUGGACUCAAACAAAGAACAUUGGUACUUACCAUCAUUUGGUGUGUAUCAUCCUCAAAAACCUAACCAAUUAAGGGUAGUUUUUGAUUCAAGUGCAGAGUUCGAAGGUCAGUCACUUAACAAAGUGUUACUAAGUGGACCGGACUUGAACAACACGCUACUAGGCGUUCUUAUGCGUUUUAGAAAAGAGUCUGUAGCAUUUUCUGCUGAUGUGCAACAAAUGUUUUAUUGCUUUCAAGUCAGAGAAGAUCAUAGGGAUUAUUUAAGAUUCCUUUGGUAUGAGAAUAAUGACAUGAGUAAAAGUGUAUGUGAUUAUAGAAUGAAGGUCCACGUUUUUGGAAAUAGUCCGUCUCCGGCUGUGGCUAUUUAUUGCAUGAGGCGCGCUGCAGUCGAGGGAGAGGAGGAGCAUGGACUGGAUGCAAAACAGUUUGUAAUGAGACAUUUUUAUGUUGAUGAUGGCCUUGCGUCUACAGCAAGCUCAAAAGAAGCUGUUGAAAUACUGACAAAUGCACAAAACAUGUUGGCCCAGUCAAAUUUAAAGCUGCACAAAAUAGCCUCCAACGACAGCAAAGUAGUUGAAGCAUUUCCUGUCGCAGAGAGAGCGAAGGAUCUAAAAGACUUGGAUUUAGAAUUUGACAACAUACCUUUACAAAGAAGUUUAGGGGUGUUGUGGGAUCUUGAAAAUGACUGUUUUACUUUUCAUGUCAACACUGAUCAAAAGCCAUAUACUAGAAGAGGUGUUUUGGCUACAAUUAACAGUUUGUAUGAUCCGCUAGGAUUCGUGUCUCCCAUAACAAUGCAGGGAAAAGCUCUUCUACGUGAACUGUCAGCAGAGCAAAAGGACUGGGAUGAACCACUUCCCAUUGAAAGAGAAGAGGAGUGGAACAAAUGGAGAACCUCGUUGAAGCACCUCGAGCAGCUACAGAUACCAAGGUGCUACCUACCUUUUUCUCAGACCACUGCUGUGAGGAAAGAACUGUGCAUAUUCUCAGAUGCCUCCACCAUGGCCAUAGGAGCAGUAGCGUAUCUGAGAGCGCUCAACACUGAAGGUCAGUGGCACACAGGUUUCAUCAUGGGAAAGUCCAAAGUGGCCCCCCGACCUGCUCACACUAUCCCUAGGUUGGAACUGUGCGCAGCAGUAUUGGCUGUAGAAAUGUAUGAACUCAUUAGAGAUGAGAUUGACAUUGAAGUGGACAUUGUCAGAUUUUUUACAGACAGCAAAAUCGUCCUAGGUUACAUACAUAACAACACAAAGAGAUUUUACACGUACGUAGCAAACAGAGUGAACAGGAUUAGAAAAACCACACAUCCUGCACAAUGGUUUUACAUUAACACAGAUGACAAUCCAGCAGACAAGGCCACAAGAUCAAUUGCAGCUCCUGCAUUGACUUAUACAAACUGGUUUAGUGGUCCUUCUUUUUUGACACAGCCGAGUACAGACACGUCACACUGUGACACAUUUGCUCUCAUCGAACCUGACGCAGAUGCAGAGAUUAAACCUGAAAUCAAGACAUUUGUUACUCAAGCUUCAGUAACACAGUUCGAGUCACGUCGUUUUGAAAGAUUUUCUCAUUGGAUGAGAUUAUGCCACACUGUUGCAUCAUUAAAACGUGUAACAGCAUCUUUCAAGAAAACAAACUCAGAAAGUAAAGGCUGGAAGUGUUUCAGUGUAACUAACACCCCAAAUGAGCUCGAGAAAGCAGCGAAAUUCAUCAUUCACACAGUUCAGACUGAAACAUUCAAAGAAGAGUACAGGUGCAUAAAAGCAAACAAGCCACUUCCAAACCUAAGCUGUCUCAAAAAGUUAAAUCCAAUCAUCGAUGAAGAUGGGCUCCUCAGAAUAGGAGGACGCUUGGCACCUGCAAAUUUGACAAAAGAGGAAAAACAUCCACUCAUCAUCCCAAAUGCUCACCAUGUAGCCGUCCUUCUUAUCAGAUACUAUCAUGAGAAGGUAGCACAUCAGGGACGCCACCUAUCAGAGGGUGCGCUCAGAGCAGCUGGAUUUUGGAUCAAAGGCAGUAAAAGACUCGUCUCUUCUGUAAUUCACAAGUGUGUUCUCUGUCGAAAGCUUAGAGGACAACUACAGACACAAAAGAUGGCGGAUUUACCCAUUGACAGACUUACACCUAUGCCCCCAUUCACCAGCGUAGGACUGGACGUUUUUGGCCCCUGGUCAGUCAUCACACGUCGCACCAGAGGAGGAAGUGCAGACAGUAAACGCUGGGCUGUACUUUUCACCUGUAUGUCCACAAGAGCUGUGCACAUUGAACUCAUAGAAUCAAUGUCAACAUCCAGCUUCAUUAACGCAUUAAGAAGAUUUUUCAGCAUCCGUGGACCAGCUCAAAUACUUCGUUCGGACAGAGGUACCAACUUUGUUGGCGCAUGCAACGAACUCAAAAUUGAUCACAAAGACACAGAACUGACCUCCUACCUACAGGAGAAAGGAUGUACAUGGCUUUUCAACUCCCCACACUCCUCACAUAUGGGAGGGGCAUGGGAAAGACUCAUCGGAGUCGCACGACGAAUCCUGGAUGGAAUUCUUUUAAAAGCCACAAAUGUCCAACUCACUCAUGAAGUGCUGAGUACUUUCAUGGCGGAAGUAAUGGCAAUAAUGAAUGCGAGACCACUCGUACCAGUAUCAACAGAUCCAGACAAACCAAACCUUCUCACACCAGCAACUCUUCUAACCCAAAAGACCAACACGUUAACUGCCCCAACCGGAAACUUUGCACCUCCUGACCUCUACGCAAAGCAAUGGAAGCAAGUGCAGUGCAUGGCGGACACUUUUUGGAAACAGUGGAGAAGUGAAUACCUUUCCUCUCUGCAACAAAGGAGAAAAUGGACAGACGAUAAACCAAACAUAAAAACUGGUGACAUUGUGCUAUUGAAGGAUGUUCUUGCACAUAGAAAUGACUGGUGUAUGGGAAGAGUUGUGAAAACAUUUGAGAGUAAAGACAAUAAGGUUCGAAAAGCAGAAGUUAAAACUGUGAAAGAUGGAAAUGUGAAAUUGUUUAUGAGACCAAUUUCAGAUUUGGUUUUGCUACUACCAGUUGAGAAGUAAUCUCGUAUGUUGUUGUAAUUGUUCAAAACAAAAAAAACAAAAAAAAGUGUUUUGUAGUGGCACAAUUGUAUUGUACCAGGCGAGGAGUGUUCUGCCUUUUGGUGAGUUUUGUAGAAGGCUUUUUUGUGCUGUCCAGCAGCGAACUCUAGUGGUCGCCUCGCGACAUGGUUUUUUGUUUUUCUAGCCAAUUCAAUAUGGCUGCACGACGUCUCUGGCUGAAGCCUAAGUUGCAACGUUGUGCUCACAUGAUCCUUGGACAAGAUUUGUCCUUUUACGACGGUCCGGAGAGGACAAUGGUUUAAGGCCAUUCCAUUAAUAAAUCAGAUAAAACCAAAGGAAGAAGUCUGUUUAUUAAAGCGUCGUUCACUAGCCGUCUAGCUUGGAAAAAAGUAGACGCUUCCGAGUGAGGACAGCAUACUGGUAUUUUGCAAGUUCUCCGACAUAGAAAUCAUGGAGGAGUCUGAAAUUUUCAUCGUAGGUGCAUGUCCACUGUGAGAGAGAUAAUCUAAAAAGAAAAAUCCAAAAAUCACAAUGCAUGAUUUUUUAACGCUUUGUGUGACACAGCUGCAAAGAAGUGUUUGAACACGUGUCUGUCAGCUAGAAUUCUGACCCUGAAAGACCUGUAAGACCACCUCCACUCUAAGUAUUAUCCUGAAUCAGAUGCACUUUAUUGAGGUCGAUGGCAGCAUAAAGACACCUGUCCACCCCAUACAAUCAGUAAGACUCAAACUUGUAACAUGGUCAAGACCAAAGAGUUGUCCAAAGACGCCAAAGACAAAAGAAAGGAAAGGAAAGGGAAAGGGCUACGGAGCAACUGCCUUGUAGCCUGGAAAAAAAGCUCCACUGUUGGAGCAAUCAUUAGAAAACAGAAGAAACUAAACAUGACGGUCAGUCUCAAUCGGAGUGGAGCCCAAUGUAAGAUAUCACCUUGCGUGGUCUCAAUGAUCCAAAAAAAGGUGAGGAACCUGGUGAAAAACUACAGGAAACGUGUGAUCUCUGUAAUUGCAAAGAAAAGCUAUUGUACCAAAUACUGUAUUAGCAUUCGUUUUCUCAGGUGUUGAAAUACUUAUUUGCAGCUGUAUUGCACAAAUAAAUCGUUAAAAAAAAAAUCAUACAUUGUGAUUUCUGGAUUUUUGUUUUUAGAUUCUCUCACAAUGGACAUGCAUCGACGAUGAAAAUUUCAGACCCCUCCAUGAUUUCUAAGUGGGAGAACUUGCAAACUAGCAGGGUGUUUAAAUAAUGUACUUAUUUUCUUUCCUGUAUAUAUAUUUACUAUAGUUCCAAAAAAUCGAUUAUUACAUGCAUCGUGAUUAGACACGCGACGAUUCGAUUAUAAUUCAUAAAGGUUCAAAAACGAUGAUUUUCCUUCUUUACUUUGACAGCCGCUUGUAGCGGAACGAAAUUCAAGACACGUCUGCCGCACGGACACCGUUAACGGAGGCAUGUACAACAUUAUGAUGGAUGCUCCUGGUUACUGGGAGAGAUAUUUACUCUUUUUUAAAAGACUGGAAAAUAAAUUUGUGUAUGAUGCAGGCAGGAGCCGGCGGUCGCGCUUUUGUGCGCAAGUGAUUUUUUAGAACGAGAGGAGAAGAUAGUUCGUUGCACCUUGUCUUUCAGAUGUGUUUUAAGGCAUUUCAAUUGAAAAAUGUCCUGAGUGUGUUGCUAAGACCUGUGUGCGUCUAUAAGAGGUGAGUACACGAACCCUCUUGUAUUGUUUAUGUGUAGCCUUUAUUGUUGUUGUUUUUGAGAUGUUAAUAGUUAGCGCCGAGCGCUAAGCUAAUUAGCUAAUUUGCUCAUGUGUAUAUUAUAUGCGGAACGUGUAAAACCAUGAUUAAGUACAGUGGUAACACUACAAACAUGCGGAAUAGUACAAAAAUCUGUUGUUGCAAGUGCUCCCUGGGAGCCGACAGGCGUGUGUGCUUGUGGGUGGGCAGGAGGAGAACAAAGUGCACGCGCUGUAAUGAGUGUCUGUGUGCCGAUGUUGGAGGCUGCCAGACUUUUUUAUGUGCUCGGCAAUAAACGCCACAAGUUAAACGUGAUAAAGAGCAGUUCUGAUUUCCACCUGUCACUCCGAGAGUUACACAAGGGAGGUAACAGUGUGAAAACAAAGUAUAUUGGUUCAAAGAAGUCUUAUAUCUAAAGACACUUUGUGUCCAGAAAAUGUAGAAUUCAUUCCACCAGUGUAAAUUUUAUUGUAUUGUUGAGAGAAAUAAGUAUUCCCUUCAAAAUGGUUAAUGUUUUUGCACUUUCUUGUAAAAAAAAUAAUUAAUAAAUAAAAAAGCAGCUUAAGGGCAGCUUUUUGUUGUAUGGGCAUGUUUCCAUCUUUCCUGUUGAAUCAUAAGGAUAUUUUCUUAUAAAUAAUGGACAUAAAUUUGGUUGGCUACUUUAUUAAUCAGUAAUGUAUGAUGCAUCGAUAAUUGUUCAAAAAUCGAAUCGUAAUCAAAUCGAAUCGUGGGGUGCCUAAGAUGGCACACCCCUAAUAUUUACGCUAUUGAAACAAACUGCAGGACAAAGGAAUUGUCCAACUACAGCAAAAAUGUCAGGAAAAUCAUAACCAAGAUAGCUCAAUUAUGACCAUACUGUAAUUUAUUCAUGUAAAACAAUAUUUGGAACGCAACUUUACAACCUUAUUUUGUGCUACACCAUUGACUUGCAAAAAAAAAAAAAAGUUAGUGUUCUUUUUGCUUCGUUGAAACCACUUCUGUACUAAUCCUAACCUUUUUAUAAGGAUAGUGUUGGCAUAGCUUUGUUCAAAUUAUAGGGGAAAAAAUUUUUUUUAAUGUGAUUCCCCCCUGCUCCAUAGAAUAAAAUAUGCAGCGCACUUUUUUUAAAAGUGUCAAAAUGCCUUUCCAUAAUCUCUUCCCUUGAUUGUGUUACGAAAUUGUGAGGCAUUGCUGUGCAACAGAAAUGAUGUUCUAACAUUCGUGUG